Alligator mississippiensis (American alligator) is the source of this 1228-nucleotide long non-coding RNA. RefSeq lists it as uncharacterized. The record is from RefSeq and is a predicted model, not a curated record. The transcript has 4 exons. Lineage: Eukaryota; Metazoa; Chordata; Crocodylia; Alligatoridae.
CAAACAGUGUGCUUCAAAAGAGAGAAAUCUCUCUGACACCAUCCACUGUUGUUCUCAAGAAGCUGGGAGAAACAGAUCGUCUCCCUUCAAGGACUGUGCUGAGAACUUUGCUUGUCAACAAAUCACCCAAGUGCCUUCGAAUGGUAUCUGGUAAAGUCUGUGGAGGUCUCCUGCUUCAGAACCAAAAUGAUUUAUUGAAGGGUGAACACAACACAACAUAGCUAGUGAUGAGGAGAAGGACAGCUUCUAUCAGCAGCUGGAAGAACUGACUGGCAGGAUUUCACAGCAGGAACCCAUUCUAGUACUCGGAGACUUCAUUGCAAGAGUUGGGUCCAAUGCUGAGAUGUGGCCUAGGAUUCUGGCUAGAUGAAGCCUUUUUAAUGACACCAGAAAACCUCCUCACCAGUACACCAGAAGGAAGUGUAUGCUUCUGCAGAGAAUAAAGACCUAAUGAGGCUGAAGAGUUAAGAAGUCAGCUCGGCAUCGAAUCUACACAAGCUCUUACAUCACGUGAACGUAAAGUUUUCAUGAAGUCUCUUGUUCGCGUUUCCUUUUAUGGCAUAAUGAAAUACUGCUUGAGGCAGAGACUUUUUGACCUAUGCUGGGGGUGCACAUUUGACUUAGGGGGUCAAGAAGCCCACGAAUGUAUUACUUGGUUAGAUGAAGACAUAAAAAAAAUAAUUCAGGAUCUUUGCCAGGAACUAUGUCUUGAUAGCAUUUUCAAUGCUGUUAUAAUCAUAGGGUUUGCCAGGAACAGUCUCAGAAUUACUGAGAAACACUUAAUUCAGGUUAGACAGCUUCUAAACACUGUGUAUUCUGCAGAAGAUCCUAAGGCUGCCCUUCAUGAUUUGAUCACUGAGGAAGAUGAAACACUCAUACCCCAUAUUGAACGCUUAAUUGGUGCUAGAGAUUAUAAAACCCUGCUUAAGAGAAGGGAUUAGCAAAACGAGUUUGGGGCGUACUUCUGUUGCUGUUCUGGGUGGGAGACUGGGGAAUGUGAGGCUGUAAAACACAACAACAGUUUUCUACAUCUAAUGUAUUUUAGCAUUUGCUUUAGUGUCUUGGAUAUCUAAUCACAUACAUAUAGGGUUUUUUUUGUAAAGAUAAAACAAUGAUACUUAAUGGUCAUUAGAAAUGAUAAAAAUCCUUCUUAGGAGAAGGGGUAACAAAAUAAACUAGUAAAAUAUUGUAAAAGUUUUAAUGGAAAUAAAGACUGAAUUUAAAAACA